UCCCUGGUGGCUCAGACAGUAAAGUAUCUGCCUGUUAUGCUGGAGACCCGGGUUCAAUUCCUGGGUUGGGAA
Molecule: transfer RNA, 72 nt
Filed under: Bos taurus (domestic cattle)
Lineage: Eukaryota; Metazoa; Chordata; Mammalia; Artiodactyla; Bovidae
Also listed under: 3 other names
Rfam family: tRNA
About the family: Transfer RNA (tRNA) molecules are approximately 80 nucleotides in length. Their secondary structure includes four short double-helical elements and three loops (D, anti-codon, and T loops).
Source: Rfam by way of RNAcentral